GCAUGUGCUGUGAGCUCGAUGAGUAGGGCGGGACACGUGGUAUCCUGUCUGAAUAUGGGGGGACCAUCCUCCAAGGCUAAAUACUCCUGACUGACCGAUAGUGAACCAGUACCGUGAGGGAAAGGCGAAAAGAACCCCGGCGAGGGGAGUGAAAAAGAACCUGAAACCGUGUACGUACAAGCAGUGGGAGCACAGGUUUACCUGUGUGACUGCGUACCUUUUGUAUAAUGGGUCAGCGACUUAUAUUCUGUAGCAAGGUUAACCGUAUAGGGGAGCCGUAGGGAAACCGAGUCUUAACCGGGCGUUAAGUUGCAGGGUAUAGACCCGAAACCCGGUGAUCUAGCCAUGGGCAGGUUGAAGGUUGGGUAACACUAACUGGAGGACCGAACCGACUAAUGUUGAAAAAUUAGCGGAUGACCUGUGGCUGGGGGUGAAAGGCCAAUCAAACCGGGAGAUAGCUGGUUCUCCCCGAAAGCUAUUUAGGUAGCGCCUCGUGAACUCAUCUCCGGGGGUAGAGCACUGUUUCGGCUAGGGGGCCAUCCCGGCUUACCAACCCGAUGCAAACUGCGAAUACCGGAGAAUGUUAUCACGGGAGACACACGGCGGGUGCUAACGUCCGUCGUGAAGAGGGAAACAACCCAGACCGCCAGCUAAGGUCCCAAAGUCAUGGUUAAGUGGGAAACGAUGUGGGAAGGCCCAGACAGCCAGGAUGUUGGCUUAGAAGCAGCCAUCAUUUAAAGAAAGCGUAAUAGCUCACUGGUCGAGUCGGCCUGCGCGGAAGAUGUAACGGGGCUAAACCAU
Molecule: ribosomal RNA, 801 nt
Filed under: Salmonella enterica subsp. enterica
Lineage: Bacteria; Pseudomonadati; Pseudomonadota; Gammaproteobacteria; Enterobacterales; Enterobacteriaceae
Also listed under: 1 other name
Description: partial 23S ribosomal RNA
Rfam family: Bacterial large subunit ribosomal RNA
Source: RNAcentral